GCUACAUUGAUGAGGGCUUCCGGAAUGGCGACGUUUCGGGGGCCUUUUUCUUGCGUCUAUCCUUCUGGUUCCAAU
This 75-nucleotide unclassified non-coding RNA is filed under the name Aminobacter niigataensis. Its description in RNAcentral is "ctRNA_p42d". Lineage: Bacteria; Pseudomonadati; Pseudomonadota; Alphaproteobacteria; Hyphomicrobiales; Phyllobacteriaceae. The record is from RNAcentral.